GACGAACGCUGGCGGUGUGCUUAACACAUGCAAGUCGAACGGUAAGGCCCUUUCGGGGGUACACGAGUGGCGAACGGGUGAGUAACACGUGAGUAACCUGCCCUCAUCUCUGGGAUAACAGUCGGAAACGGUUGCUAAUACUGGAUAUGAGCUUGCAAGGCAUCUUGUGGGUUGGAAAGAUUUUUUUUGGUUGGGGAUGGACUCGCGGCCUAUCAGCUUGUUGGUGAGGUUGUGGCUCACCAAGGCUUCGACGGGUAGCCGGCCUGAGAGGGCGACCGGCCACAUUGGGACUGAGAUACGGCCCAAACUCCUACGGGAGGCAGCAGUGGGGAAUAUUGCACAAUGGACGGAAGUCUGAUGCAGCAACGCCGCGUGCGGGAUGACGGCCUUCGGGUUGUAAACCGCUGUCAAUUGUGACGAAGCUUUUUUGUGACGGUAGCAGUAGAAGAAGCACCGGCUAACUACGUG
This 468-nucleotide ribosomal RNA is filed under the name uncultured bacterium. RNAcentral's name for it is "partial 16S ribosomal RNA". It matches the Rfam family "Bacterial small subunit ribosomal RNA", at positions 28 to 507 of the family's 1533-position model. The record is from RNAcentral.